GGGCGUGGGCUCGUUAAAUACAUGCAAGUCGAACGAGUUCUCGUUGAUGAUCGGUGCUUGCACCGAGAUUCAACAUGGAACGAGUGGCGGACGGGUGAGUAACACGUGGGUAACCUGCCCUUAAGUGGGGGAUAACAUUUGGAAACAGAUGCUAAUACCGCAUAGAUCCAAGAACCGCAUGGUUCUUGGCUGAAAGAUGGCGUAAGCUAUCGCUUUUGGAUGGACCCGCGGCGUAUUAGCUAGUUGGUGAGGUAAUGGCUCACCAAGGCGAUGAUACGUAGCCGAACUGAGAGGUUGAUCGGCCACAUUGGGACUGAGACACGGCCCAAACUCCUACGGGAGGCAGCAGUAGGGAAUCUUCCACAAUGGACGCAAGUCUGAUGGAGCAACGCCGCGUGAGUGAAGAAGGCUUUCGGGUCGUAAAACUCUGUUGUUGGAGAAGAAUGGUCGGCAGAGUAACUGUUGUCGGCGUGACGGUAUCCAACCAGAAAGCCACGGCUAACUACGUGCCAGCAGCCGCGGUAAUACGUAGGUGGCAAGCGUUAUCCGGAUUUAUUGGGCGUAAAGCGAGCGCAGGCGGUUUUUUAAGUCUGAUGUGAAAGCCCUCGGCUUAACCGAGGAAGCGCAUCGGAAACUGGGAAACUUGAGUGCAGAAGAGGACAGUGGAACUCCAUGUGUAGCGGUGAAAUGCGUAGAUAUAUGGAAGAACACCAGUGGCGAAGGCGGCUGUCUGGUCUGUAACUGACGCUGAGGCUCGAAAGCAUGGGUAGCGAACAGGAUUAGAUACCCUGGUAGUCCAUGCCGUAAACGAUGAAUGCUAGGUGUUGGAGGGUUUCCGCCCUUCAGUGCCGCAGCUAACGCAUUAAGCAUUCCGCCUGGGGAGUACGACCGCAAGGUUGAAACUCAAAGGAAUUGACGGGGGCCCGCACAAGCGGUGGAGCAUGUGGUUUAAUUCGAAGCAACGCGAAGAACCUUACCAGGUCUUGACAUCUUUUGAUCACCUGAGAAAUCAGGUUUCCCCUUCGGGGGCAAAAUGACAGGGGGGGCCAUGGGUUGUCGUCAGCUCGUGUCGUGAGAAUGUUUGGGGNUUAAAGGUCCCCCGCAACGNAGGCGCAACCCUUUUAUUGGANNCUAGNNUUGCCCNAAGGGC
This 1150-nucleotide ribosomal RNA is filed under the name Lacticaseibacillus casei. RNAcentral's name for it is "bacterial SSU rRNA". It matches the Rfam family "Bacterial small subunit ribosomal RNA", at positions 31 to 1136 of the family's 1533-position model. The record is from RNAcentral. Lineage: Bacteria; Bacillati; Bacillota; Bacilli; Lactobacillales; Lactobacillaceae.